AGGACGAACGCUGGCGGCGUGCUUAACACAUGCAAGUCGAACGAAGAUGCCGGAGUGCUUGCACUUUGGCAGACUGAGCGGCGGACGGGUGAGUAACGCGUGGGUAACCUGCCUUAUACAGGGGGAUAACAGUUGGAAACGACUGCUAAUACCGCAUAAGCGCACGGUAUCGCAUGAUACAGUGUGAAAAACUCCGGUGGUGUGAGAUGGACCCGCGUCUGAUUAGCUAGUUGGCAGGGCAACGGCCUACCAAGGCGACGAUCAGUAGCCGACCUGAGAGGGUGACCGGCCACAUUGGGACUGAGACACGGCCCAAACUCCUACGGGAGGCAGCAGUGGGGAAUAUUGCACAAUGGGGGAAACCCUGAUGCAGCGACGCCGCGUGAGCGAAGAAGUAUUUCGGUAUGUAAAGCUCUAUCAGCAGGGAAGAAGAAAUGACGGUACCUGACUAAGAAGCACCGGCUAAAUACGUG
This 473-nucleotide ribosomal RNA is filed under the name uncultured bacterium. RNAcentral's name for it is "bacterial SSU rRNA". It matches the Rfam family "Bacterial small subunit ribosomal RNA", at positions 26 to 507 of the family's 1533-position model. The record is from RNAcentral.